Molecule: ribosomal RNA, 700 nt
Filed under: uncultured bacterium
Lineage: Bacteria
Description: bacterial SSU rRNA
Rfam family: Bacterial small subunit ribosomal RNA
Source: RNAcentral
UAUUAGAAAGAAUACCAAUUGCGAAGGCAGCUUUCUGGAUCAUUACUGACACUGAGGAACGAAAGCAUGGGUAGCGAAGAGGAUUAGAUACCCUCGUAGUCCAUGCCGUAAACGAUGUGUGUUAGACGUUGGAAAUUUAUUUUCAGUGUCGCAGCGAAAGCGAUAAACACACCGCCUGGGGAGUACGACCGCAAGGUUAAAACUCAAAUGAAUUGACGGGGACCCGCACAAGUAGUGGAGCAUGUGGUUUAAUUCGAAGAUACGCGCAGAACCUUACCAACACUUGACAUGUUCGUCGCGACUCUGAGAGAUUAGAGUUUUCGGUUCGGCCGGACGAAACACAGGUGCUGCAUGGCUGUCGUCAGCUCGUGUCGUGAGAUGUUGGGUUAAGUCCCGCAACGAGCGCAACCCUCACUUUUAGUUGCCAUCAUUAAGUUGGGCACUCUGAAAGAACUGCCAGUGAUAAGCUGGAGGAAGGUGGGGAUGACGUCAAGUCCUCAUGGCCCUUACGUGUUGGGCUACACACGUGCUACAAUGGUAUCUACAACAGGAAGCAAGACUGCGAGGUCAAGCAAAUCCUUAAAAGAUACCUCAGUUCGGAUUGCACUCUGCAACUCGAGUGCAUGAAGCUGGAAUUACUAGUAAUCGUGGAUCAGCGUGCCAUGGUGAAUGCGUUCCCGGGCCUUGUACACACCGCCCA